AUUGCGAGAGAAUAUUUUGAUUAGAGUGGGGUAGUGAGUCCGGAAGUAUUACGAGAGGACAACGAAGUCCCACAACCCGGAGAGCACGAGACAGUGACCUACACUCUAGGGCCAAGGCUGUUGUUACGUAGCCCUGCUUUUAAAUAAACCUCCUUACACUUUGGCGAAGGUGCUGGGUAGUCUCCCAACCUGGAACUGCUUCCAGCGCCCCCAGCGAUGCCGGAAGAAACCAGCACCCAAGACCCCUCUCAGACUCAGCCCACCUUCUGUCCCGGCGUGCUGCCUCAGCGUCACCCACCGGUAUUCAGAGGGACUGAUGACCAAGACGUCGAGGACUGCUUGGCAACUUAUCAGAUGGUGAGCGCAGUCAACAAAUGGGACGAUAUGAUUAGGCUGACCAAUGUCUUAUUUUAGUUGACCAGCAUCGCCAUUCUCUGGUACUGAAAUGACGAUGCGGAGAUUCAUAACUGGGCCUCCCUCAAGACCACUUUUUCGGAAAUCUUCGGCUGCCCCGCGCUACGCCAGCGCCGCGCAGAACACCGACUUUGUGACGCGCUCAACAACCUGAAGAACCAUAGCCAGACCGCAAUCAUGAAGAAAACGACUACCAUAAUGGUCUUACUUGCCUUCUGCGUGAUGAGUUGCCAAUCUCGCCCUCAAACCAAAGGCAGAAAGAUUAUGUUUGAAGAGCGAAUCGCUUCAAGUACCUGCAAAACAUUUGUG
Dermacentor silvarum is the source of this 723-nucleotide long non-coding RNA. RefSeq lists it as uncharacterized. The transcript is spliced from 3 exons. NCBI's taxonomy places the organism in Eukaryota, Metazoa, Arthropoda, Arachnida, Ixodida, Ixodidae. The record is from RefSeq and is a predicted model, not a curated record.